CGCCCGACACUCGGCGGCGGUCACUUCGCAGACCAGACUUCUCUCGUUCAGGCGUCUUGCUCCGGUGAGCCCCCGGGCCCUUUUUUCCCUUUCUUGGUCCCUUGGGACCCUUCCAGCUGGGCGCCAGCACUCGACCCCUUCAUCUACGACCCCUAUUAAGGCGUUUCUAAAUCCGAGUCCUGGGGAAGGUCGUUUUGGGGACCGUGGGGAUGUUAAACCCUUCCAGAUGCUAGAUAAUAGGAACGCGAUCUUGACUUUUUUUUUUUUAACCCUCAAAAUCCGGCGUCUUGCCGUGCAGGUUCAGGGGGAAAUUUAAUUUUUUCCCCCUUAAAGGCAUUCUGUAUUGUCUUUUGAGUUCAGAAACAGAACGAUCCUUUGUUCUAACGCACGUUCUACCGAGCCUUGAGCUUCAACGAUUCUGUAUCCCCCUAGCCUCCGAUGCCUUCUUGGGCUGUCCAGGUUUAGUGUGGGCUGGGCUGUAUCGUCAAAUUUUGAAAGUCCUUCUUACAGAGGAGUGUGAGCAAAGGAUGCUUAGUUGUCCCUAAUGCAGAUCAGGAUUGAUUUAUGGGGUGGUGAGGAGGCAGCUUUGUGAGCCGCUGGCUGCAUUGUUGAGCGCGAGAGAGGAAGCGCGUAGGGCGGUGGUCAGACGCUCGCAGCUGCCGCCUUUGUGAGAGGGGAAAACUAGACCCCGUGCAUCUUUUGGGAGAGAUCACAUCCAGAAAAUGGAAACACAUUUUUGCCACCUUGGCUCCAUUUUCAGGAUUUUUACUCGAUUUUCCCCCAUUUUAACUUGGAAGUGGCUUCGUUAUUCUCUACUUGUUCAACGGGAUUUUGAUUUACCAUUCCGCAAUGAUCAAUUCCAUUACUCGGAAAAAUCCAGCCUUGAAGCCAUCUUCCCCCACGUUUUGAAAUAUUGAGGGGGAGGUCUUUUUUUUUUUUUUAUCUUUUUUUCCCUGUAGAAAGAGGAAUCCCUUUAGUCCUGAAUGGACGAGGAAAGAGGGAGGGGGGGUUUCCAGGCUGCAACUUAGAGGGGAGAAGCGCAUUGCUGAGCGGGUAGAGGCGAGGGUGGGUGGCUCCUUCUCAGUCUUCCUCUUGGCUUUGUACCUCCAGCUUCCUCCGAAACCAUGUCUGACAAACCCGAUAUGGCUGAGAUCGAGAAAUUCGAUAAGUCGAAAUUGAAGAAGACAGAAACGCAAGAGAAAAAUCCUCUGCCUUCAAAAGAAAGUAAGCUCGCACCCUCCGCCCAUCUUCCGAAAAGGCUGGGCGGGAGCGGCGGGUAGGAGGAUGGGAGGGGCUGUAAGGAGAAGGGGGGGGGAGUGCGGGGGUGGAGCCGACAGUUUGAUGAUAAAUGUGGUUUGGAAAGGUUAAUUAAAAAUUGUUUAUAGCCAGCAAACACAGGGCUUUAGUGAUUUAAUAAUGGAAUAUUUAACCUGCCAUAUUAAUAUACAAAUACAUUUAUUUAUUAAAAUGUACUUUGAUUUGAUAUAUUUAAAAGAAAUAUUUUAUUUUAUUAUGGAAUAUUUACAUACCACUUGUAGAAUUUUUGUGAAAUGCAAAAAUGUUUUAAAUGAAAGUAUUGAUUGUUAUGGCGUCCUCUUAGCCUCCAUCUUUUUUUCUCUUUUGUCUUUUUCCGGUCACAGCGAUUGAACAGGAGAAGCAAGCAGGCGAAUCGUAAUGAGGCGUGCACCGCCAAUAUGCACUGUACAUUCCACAAGCAUUGCCUUCUUAUUUUACUUCUUUUAGCUGUUUAACUUUGUAAGAUGCAAAGAGGUUGGAUCAAGUUUAAAUGACUGUGCUGCCCCUUUUCACAUCAAAAAAUCAAGAACUACUGACAACGAAGGCCAGGCCUGCCUCUCCCAUCUGCCUGUCUGGCAGAGAAAGAAAAGAACUUGCAUGUUGGUGAAGGAAGAUAUUGGGUGGGAGGAUGGUGAAAUCUAGAGUAAGAUCCAAGCUGUUUCAAGGUGUCCUGCAGGCUGUAAAAUGCAGUUUAAUCAGAGUGCCAUUUUUUUGUUCAAAUGAUUUUAAUUAUUGGAAUGCACAAUUUUUUUAAUAUGCAAAUAAAAAGUUUUAAAACCUGGCU
Molecule: long non-coding RNA, 2080 nt
Filed under: Marmota monax (woodchuck)
Lineage: Eukaryota; Metazoa; Chordata; Mammalia; Rodentia; Sciuridae
Source: RNAcentral